This 253-nucleotide ribosomal RNA is filed under the name uncultured bacterium. RNAcentral describes it as "partial 16S ribosomal RNA". It matches the Rfam family "Bacterial small subunit ribosomal RNA", at positions 524 to 776 of the family's 1533-position model. The record is from RNAcentral.
UACGUAGGUGGCAAGCGUUAUCCGGAUUUAUUGGGCGUAAAGGGAACGCAGGCGGUCUUUUAAGUCUGAUGUGAAAGCCUUCGGCUUAACCGGAGUAGUGCAUUGGAAACUGGGAGACUUGAGUGCAGAAGAGGAGAGUGGAACUCCAUGUGUAGCGGUGAAAUGCGUAGAUAUAUGGAAGAACACCAGUGGCGAAAGCGGCUCUCUGGUCUGUAACUGACGCUGAGGUUCGAAAGUGUGGGGAGCAAACAGG